AAAAUAAUCCUACCCUUUGUGAAUUUUGUUUAUUUGAAUAAUUUUUUUUUUUAAAAAUUAUUGGAGUCUUUCCCUUUAGAGUUUGCUUUUGAGUUUGUAAAAGAAUCGAAAACAUCUAAAGGGGAUGGUCAAUAAUUUUUUUUGAAAAAAGACAUUUUUUAAAAUUAAACUUUUUGUAUUCAUUUGUCUAAAAAUUAUUUUUAUAAUAUAAAAACAACUUUUGACAAUGGAUCUCUUGGUUCUCGCAACGAUGAAGAACGCAGCAAAAUGCGAUAAGUAGUGUGAAUUGCAGAAUACGUGAAUCAUCGAAUCUUUGAACGCAUAUUGCACUUUUUUAGUUUACUAAAAAAGUAUGUCUGUUUGAGUAUCAGUAAAAUAUUCUCAUAAAAAUCAUUGUGUAUUUUUAUGGUUAUGAGUGUUUUACAACGAUACAAGUUGUUUCACUUUAAAUUUUUUUUUAAUAUUGAAAUUUUUCUAAUUUUAAUAAUUAAAAUUGGAUAAAAUUUCCCGUCAAAAGGAAUAACCUAAACAAUUUUAAAUGAUUAAUUUUAGCAAAAUUUUCGUAAAAAAGGAAAAUUUUUAUUAAAAUAACUUGAUCUCAAAUCAGAUAAGAGUACCCGCUGAACUUAAGCAUAUCAAUAAGCGGAGGAAAAGAAACUAACAAGGAUUCCCUCAGUAACGGCGAGUGAAGCGGGAAGAGCUCAAAUUUGAAAUCUUGAAAGGUUCCCUUUCACGAAUUGUAGUUUAAAGAAGUGUUUUCUGUUACGUUUGUAAUAAAGUUCUUGGAAUAGGACAUCACAGAGGGUGAGAAUCCCGUCUAUGAUUGCGAUUUGUAGCUUUGUGAUACACUUUCAAAGAGUCGGGUUGUUUGGGAAUGCAGCCCAAAACGGGAGGUAAAUUUCUUCUAAGGCUAAAUAUUGGCGAGAGACCGAUAGCGAACAAGUACCGUGAGGGAAAGAUGAAAAGAACUUUGAAAAGAGAGUUAAAUAGUACGUGAAAUUGUCAAAAGGGAAGCGUUUAACACCAGUGUUGUUUUCUGAAAAUCAACCUCUGUUAGCUUUAUGCAUGUUUGUUUAGACCUAAUCAGCUAUCUUGCAUGUUCUAUUGUUUGCAGUGGUGCACUUUUCAGUUUACAGGUCAACAUCAGUUUUUUUUACCGUAAAAAAGUUAAAGAAAGGUAGCUCAUGGCUCCGGUCGUGAGUGUUAUAGUCUUUUUCCUAUGCGGUAGGAGAGACUGAGGUCUGCAGUGUAGGCUAUUUGGCUAGAUACUCAGGUGCUAUGUGAUACCAUUUCAUAAACAACUUGUUGAUUAUGUUUUGUCUAUUGCAUACUCGCUUGUACUAUCA
Molecule: unclassified non-coding RNA, 1346 nt
Filed under: uncultured Neocallimastigales
Lineage: Eukaryota; Fungi; Neocallimastigomycota; Neocallimastigomycetes; Neocallimastigales
Description: partial contains internal transcribed spacer 1, 5.8S ribosomal RNA, internal transcribed spacer 2, and large subunit ribosomal RNA
Rfam family: Eukaryotic large subunit ribosomal RNA (bases 594-1346)
Source: RNAcentral